AUACUUACAUGACAAGGAGAUACUAUGACCAUGAAGGUGGUUUUCCCAGGGCGAGGCUUAUCCAUUGCAUUCUGGAUGUGCUGACCCCUGCAAUUUCCCCAAAUGUGGGAAACUUGACUGCAUAAUUUGUGGUAGUGGGGGACUGCGUUUGUGCUCUCCCAUG
This is a small nuclear RNA of Erinaceus europaeus (western European hedgehog), 163 nucleotides long. Its record names the gene U1. It matches the Rfam family "U1 spliceosomal RNA". Rfam says of the family: U1 is a small nuclear RNA (snRNA) component of the spliceosome (involved in pre-mRNA splicing). Its 5' end forms complementary base pairs with the 5' splice junction, thus defining the 5' donor site of an intron. There are significant differences in sequence and secondary structure between metazoan and yeast U1 snRNAs, the latter being much longer (568 nucleotides as compared to 164 nucleotides in human). NCBI's taxonomy places the organism in Eukaryota, Metazoa, Chordata, Mammalia, Eulipotyphla, Erinaceidae. The record is from Ensembl.